AACGAACGCUGGCGGCAUGCCUAACACAUGCAAGUCGAACGAGACCUUCGUGUCUAGUGGCUCACGGGUGCGUAACGCGUGGGAACCUGCCCUUAGGUUCGGAAUAACUCCCCGAAAUGGGUGCUAAUACCGGAUACUAUCUUCGGACCAAAGAUUUAUCGCCUUUGGAUGGGCCCGCGUUGGAUUAGCGAGUGGUUAGGGUAAACGCCUACCAAGGCGACGAUCCAUAGCUGGUCUGAGAGGAGGAUCAGCCACACUGGGACUGAGACACGGCCCAGACUCGUACGAGAGGCAGCAGUGGGGAAUAUUGGACAAUGGGCGAAAGCCUGAUCCAGCAAGGCCGCGUGAGUGAUGAAGGCCUUAUGGUUGUAAAGCUCUUUUACCCGGGAUGAUAAUGACAGUACCGGGAGAAUAAGCACCGGCUAACUCCGUG
This 433-nucleotide ribosomal RNA is filed under the name uncultured bacterium. RNAcentral describes it as "partial 16S ribosomal RNA". It matches the Rfam family "Bacterial small subunit ribosomal RNA", at positions 29 to 507 of the family's 1533-position model. The record is from RNAcentral.